RNAcentral lists this ribosomal RNA (468 nucleotides) under uncultured bacterium. Its description in RNAcentral is "partial 16S ribosomal RNA". It matches the Rfam family "Bacterial small subunit ribosomal RNA", at positions 28 to 507 of the family's 1533-position model. The record is from RNAcentral.
GACGAACGCUGGCGGCGUGCUUAACACAUGCAAGUCGAACGGAAAGGCCCUGCUUUUGUGGGGUGCUCGAGUUGCGACCGGGUGAGUAACACUUGAGUAACCUGCCCUUGACUUUGGGAUAUCUUCAUGAAACUGGGGCUAAUACCGGAUAGGAGCUCCUGCUGCAUGGUGGGGGUUGGAAAGUUUCGGCGGUUGGGGAUGUACUCGCGGCUUAUCAGCUUGUUGGUUGGGUAGUGGCUUACCAAGGCUUUGACGGGUAGCCGGGCUGAGCGGGUGACCGGACACACUGGGACGGAGAUACGGCACAGACUCCUACGGGAGGCAGCAGUGGAGAAGAGUGCACAAUGGGAGGAAGCAUGAUGCAGCAACGCCGCGUGCGGGAUGAGGGCCUGCGGGUUGUAAAGCGCUUUCGCCUGAGACGAAGCGUGAGUGACGGUAAUGGGUAAAGAAGCACCGGCUAACUACGUG